GAGGGUACAGCUCAGUGGUCGAGCACGUGCCCGGCAUGCACAAGGUCCUGGGUUCAAUCCCCGGUACCUCCA
RNAcentral lists this transfer RNA (72 nucleotides) under Camelus bactrianus (Bactrian camel). It matches the Rfam family "tRNA". Rfam says of the family: Transfer RNA (tRNA) molecules are approximately 80 nucleotides in length. Their secondary structure includes four short double-helical elements and three loops (D, anti-codon, and T loops). Further hydrogen bonds mediate the characteristic L-shaped molecular structure. tRNAs have two regions of fundamental functional importance: the anti-codon, which is responsible for specific mRNA codon recognition, and the 3' end, to which the tRNAs corresponding amino acid is attached (by aminoacyl-tRNA synthetases). tRNAs cope with the degeneracy of the genetic code in two manners: having more than one tRNA (with a specific anti-codon) for a particular amino acid; and 'wobble' base-pairing, i.e. permitting non-standard base-pairing at the 3rd anti-codon position. RNAcentral also lists the same sequence under 2 other names. Lineage: Eukaryota; Metazoa; Chordata; Mammalia; Artiodactyla; Camelidae. The record is from Rfam by way of RNAcentral.